This 214-nucleotide ribosomal RNA is filed under the name Gadus chalcogrammus (walleye pollock). RNAcentral's name for it is "partial 16S ribosomal RNA". Lineage: Eukaryota; Metazoa; Chordata; Actinopteri; Gadiformes; Gadidae. The record is from RNAcentral.
AUGGAGCUUUAGACCUAAAGUAAGUCACGUUUAACAUGCUAAAAUAACAGAAAAAACUUAGUGAUAUUUACUGAAGUGUCUUUGGUUGGGGCGACCGCGGGGUAAAACACAACCCCCAUGUGGACCGGGGAUAUUAUCCCUAAUACUCAGAGCCUCUACUCCAAGUAACAGAAAUUCUGACUUUUCUGAUCCGGUAUAACCGAUCAACGAACCG